AUCCGUGGACUUGAGCGACAAGAAGGUCAGAGUGGUAGUCACAUUUUAGGAGCUCGUAAGUAUAAUCUAACAGCCUGAAGAGACAUCUCCUAUGAUUCGAAUGACCCCUGCGCACCUCCCGCAGGUCACCUUACACUUCCUAGCUUGAGGCCUUUGCAGAAUCCAUACAAGCUGUGAAAUGAUUCCUUUCCAUGAAGCCCCGGAACAAAGCCGCUCGCUCUCCGCUUUCUGUGUAAAGAAUCAAUUGCCGAGGAGUGGGGAGGCAAGACUGGAAACAGAGAGACCAAGUGAGAGCCCAGGACUGAGAGAAUGAAGCCUUCAGCUCCAGCAGGAGCAGAGGAGAUGAGGGUGCAGGUCUGUCAGAGACGUGCUUCCUGUCACCGCCCCUCCUGUGCCCACGAAGGCAUCACCAGCGGACACCAAACUCCUUCCUGAUGAGCCGGGAAAUGGCUACAAGUCCUCAAUACGACAUCCUCAAUAUGCACAUGUAGAUGAUACAAGGUUCAAAUAACUUUGGGGGAAACUUUUUCCUUCUCAGAAUCUCUCUAUCCAAGUUAGACUCCUUUAGAGGAUAUUUGGGUUUCAAAUUUCAGAUUUUUAGAGGAGAAUAGAAGGAGCACCAGUGAGCGGCACUCCUAGAAAGCUUCCCUAAUGGCCUAGACUUGUGCCCGUCAUCCUAAUGGGGUCUGCAAAGUGAGGCACUCAGAGAGUUUGACGGGUUUGAUGAUAGCUUUGUAAGAUUGACC
Molecule: long non-coding RNA, 746 nt
Filed under: Equus caballus (horse)
Lineage: Eukaryota; Metazoa; Chordata; Mammalia; Perissodactyla; Equidae
Description: lncRNA (ENSECAG00000056530.1)
Source: RNAcentral